ACACGACUCUCGGCAACGGAUAUCUUGGCUCUCGCAUCGAUGAAGAACGUAGCGAAAUGCGAUACCUGGUGUGAAUUGCAGAAUCCCGCGAACCAUCGAGUCUUUGAACGCAAGUUGCGCCCAAGGCCAUUCGGCCGAGGGCACGCCUGCCUGGGCGUCACGC
RNAcentral lists this ribosomal RNA (163 nucleotides) under Deschampsia christophersenii. Its description in RNAcentral is "5.8S ribosomal RNA". It matches the Rfam family "5.8S ribosomal RNA". Rfam says of the family: 5.8S ribosomal RNA (5.8S rRNA) is a component of the large subunit of the eukaryotic ribosome. It is transcribed by RNA polymerase I as part of the 45S precursor that also contains 18S and 28S rRNA. Functionally, it is thought that 5.8S rRNA may be involved in ribosome translocation. Lineage: Eukaryota; Viridiplantae; Streptophyta; Magnoliopsida; Poales; Poaceae. The record is from RNAcentral.